AGCAACUUAACGCAGUGGUAGCGUGCGGGGCCCAUAACCCCGAAGUCCCUGGAUCGAAACCAGGAGUUGCUA
Non-coding RNA from Abortiporus biennis, 72 nucleotides. Lineage: Eukaryota; Fungi; Basidiomycota; Agaricomycetes; Polyporales; Podoscyphaceae. The record is from the annotation of a GenBank genome assembly.